GAUUAUGGCCUAUACCACAGUGACAACGCCCGAUCUCGUCAGAUCUCGGAAGCUAAGCAGAGUUGGGCUGGGUCAGUACUUGGAUGGGUGACAGCCUGGGAAUACCUGGUGCUGUAAGCA
Molecule: ribosomal RNA, 120 nt
Organism: Cottoperca gobio
Lineage: Eukaryota; Metazoa; Chordata; Actinopteri; Perciformes; Bovichtidae
Source: Ensembl